UUCUAAGUUGGGACUGCAAAAAUUUGAGGAUUUCCCCACAUAGACCUGAAGUUUCUGCUUCUAGCAUUUCUCUUUUGUAAGCAGCAUGGCAAACCCGGUUUCAAAGUAAAGACCUGAGGAAGAAUGUGGAUUGAUCACUGUGAUUUCAAGUCCUUCAGAGCUGGAGCUGUUAAGACUUGAGACAGAUAUAUACAGGUAACAGGGGCCUACAAGAUCCAAUUCAUAAGAAACUGAGGCACAUCAAUCAAACGCCAACCCACCUGCUAUUGGCACUAAAUGAGGAAGGAAAAAGAACAUUGUCCCUGAAGGCUCGAGACACACAAACAGGAAACUGAGUUUGGGAAAGGUGGUUGUCUCCUUGACGCACACCAUGGUGCCCUUGUCUACUCUCUGUCUUCUUCCUUGCCAGGUAUUUUAUUUCAAGAUUUCGUAAGUGGUCCGCACUGACAAAUGAAAUACGCAGAAAAAGAUACUUAUGUUGUUUUGUUCUUGCAGACACCUUAUUUACUGGUAGUAGGUUCUCUCAUAGCAUUUUUCGGUGGAGUUGUACUGGCAUCUUUGACUGAAGUUUCUUUCAACUGGGAGAAAACAUGACAAGAAAGGGGAAGAACUAACCUACAUGGAGCUUGGUCAAGGUCGUCGCUCAUGUUUGAUGGCAUUGUUUCUGGUUCCACCGAUGUUGUCGAUGCCUGUUACCUAUGGCCCCUUUGCUGCUUUCCUCGGUCGGGCGUGGUCCAUCAGCCAUUGCAUGCAGACAAUAGAAUUUAGGCCAGCAAGUCGCUUAUCUACGCUACAGAUCGACCCAUAGACAGGGAAAGGAAGCGAUGGUUGGUGGGGAGAGGAGCCGGGGGACAUGUUGUGAUGGGACAAGAGGCGCAGUGGCAGGGAGAGAAGGUGAAGACUACGCCAUGUGAGUUGCAGAUGUUGUGCCUUAUGCGGCGGGGAUAAGGGAUGUGUGAUGUGCUUGUGUGGUGAGAGGCGAGGAGUGGCUUUUCCUUUUUGCGGGAGGCUGUUCAUUUUUGUCUAUUCUAUUUUUAUAUUCAAGAUACAUACAAUUAUUUAUCAUCAUUAUAAUCGAGAUAAUAAAUAUUUAUUUAUUCCAUUAA
Aegilops tauschii subsp. strangulata is the source of this 1106-nucleotide non-coding RNA. The record is from RefSeq and is a predicted model, not a curated record. Lineage: Eukaryota; Viridiplantae; Streptophyta; Magnoliopsida; Poales; Poaceae.